CUAGACCUGAAAUCAGUCGAGGACACCCGCUGAAUUUAAGCAUAUUAUUAAGCGGAGGAAAAGAAAAUAACUAUGAUUCCCCUAGUAACGGCGAGUGAAGAGGGAGGUGCUCAAAGUGAAAAUCGUGGUACCUCU
This 135-nucleotide ribosomal RNA is filed under the name Eimeria bovis. RNAcentral's name for it is "partial 28S rRNA". It matches the Rfam family "Eukaryotic large subunit ribosomal RNA", at positions 1 to 133 of the family's 3401-position model. Lineage: Eukaryota; Apicomplexa; Conoidasida; Eucoccidiorida; Eimeriidae. The record is from RNAcentral.